AGAGGUUCCUGGAAAUAGCCCCACUGUAAGAUCGUACCCUAAACCGACACAGGUGGACUGGUAGAGAAUACCAAGGCGCUUGAGAGAACUAUGCUGAAGGAACUCGGCAAAUUGCCUCCGUACCUUCGGAAGAAGGAGGCCCUGGAUCGACGCAAGUCUUUUCAGGGGGCACAGGCCAGGGGGUAGCGACUGUUUACUAAAAACACAGGGCUCUGCGAAGCCGUCCAGGCGACGUAUAGGGUCUGACGCCUGCCCGGUGCCGGAAGGUUAAAAGGAGGGGU
RNAcentral lists this ribosomal RNA (281 nucleotides) under Oxyrrhis marina. RNAcentral describes it as "partial Bacterial large subunit ribosomal RNA". It matches the Rfam family "Bacterial large subunit ribosomal RNA", at positions 1601 to 1890 of the family's 2925-position model. The record is from RNAcentral. Lineage: Eukaryota; Dinophyceae; Oxyrrhinales; Oxyrrhinaceae.